CAUCCUUUUAUUUUUAUCGCAAUGACCUCAUGUCUUAUGGCAGAAGUUUACUAACGAGAGAAUCUCUUUCUUUUAUAUAACUUCGCCGUGCGCAGUGUCGUUCGCUUGGCUCUCUUCGUCCUGGCUGGGGGGACAUGGAGUGUCUCUAUUAAACUCCAACACUGGGCUGUAUGGCGAAAAAAAAGUCAUUUUCACGACAAAUUCUCUAACGCCUCUCCCCCCCCCACCACCACCCAAAGAGGCCGAUAAGUGCUUAAGCAUGAAGGCAGGGAGCGAGGUGUGCGAUGAUGUAACGGCCGCACAGCCCAAGAGAGAAGACUUCUUUUGUCGUAGCCGAGCAAUGCCGAGCUCCAUCAGUGUGACAUCAUCCCCGGCCGACACAAUGGCGCUCUUCAUCUCCUGAGGGCCCCGCGCUAGGAGCUGCGUCAUCCCUGCCCCCCCCCACCCCCCCAGCCCCCCAACCGGGAGGAGGAGGGAGAGGAGG
This is a long non-coding RNA of Gadus chalcogrammus (walleye pollock), 484 nucleotides long. RefSeq lists it as uncharacterized. The transcript is spliced from 3 exons. NCBI's taxonomy places the organism in Eukaryota, Metazoa, Chordata, Actinopteri, Gadiformes, Gadidae. The record is from RefSeq and is a predicted model, not a curated record.